Agelaius phoeniceus (red-winged blackbird) is the source of this 394-nucleotide non-coding RNA. NCBI's taxonomy places the organism in Eukaryota, Metazoa, Chordata, Aves, Passeriformes, Icteridae. The record is from RefSeq and is a predicted model, not a curated record.
AUGGUGGUGGUGAUGGUGAUGGUGAUGAUGAUGGGCUUACACAGAGCCAAGGCCUUUUCUGCUUCUUGUACUUCCACACUGGUGAGGAAGUUGGGAGUGCAUGGGAGACUGGGAGAAGACACAGCUGGGACAGGUGACCCAAACUGACCAAAGGGAUUUCCAGACCAUGUGACAUCAUGCUUAGGACAUAAAGCUGUGGGGAAGAAAGAGGAAGGGGGAAAGUUUGAAGUGAUGGCAUUUGUCUAUCCAAGUAAGCACUGCGAAUGAUGGGGCCCUGCUCUCCUGGAGAUGGCUGAACACCUGCCUCCCCAUGGGAAGCAGUGAAAUAAUUUCUUAUCUUGUUUCACUUGAGUGCAUGGCUUUUGUUUUUACUAAUAAACUGUCUUUAUCUCAA